AUAUUCUUUUUCAUUUAAUAGGAGGGAAAAGUGUAAACGUACUGAAAUUGGAAGAGUGCAGAGCCUAUUUGAGAAAACAUAAGCUUCGGAUAACUGGUACCGAAAAAACAUCUAUCACGAGGAUUCUGGAGCACUGCAGAGGAGGUUUAGAAUCUUUCACAACCUGAGCUAGAGUGUACAACAAGUUAGAUAGGACAAUUCCUGGUUUCAGUAAAGUAAUGAAGAAAGUGCGAGCUGAUACAGCUGCAAAUGAUGCAAGGCGCAAGGAGAGGAGGGCUGCACAGAAAAAGGCUGAGGCUGCUCUCUUUGGCCGUAGAGUGUCACCUGAUCCGUAGAAAAGAACAUAAAAUUUGUUGUUCGUGCACAUCCAACCUAAAUCUGAAGUCCUCGAUGAGCUCUUCAAAUCCGCCAAGCUAUUUCACAAAGUUAUCUGAAUAUAUUGCGGUUAUCAUCAACCAUAUGCAUGUUUUACUGUUUACAUCAUGGGCUCAUCAAUGAGAAGCCUCAAGUGAUUCAAGAGUAAGCGUCAAGAAAGGCAAUUUCAAAUCAGCAAAUAAUUACCAAACUGGAGAGGGUCUUGGGAGUAAAAUUGAGAGGAAAUAAAUAAUUUGCCUUGUACAAAAUUUGUAACUUAUGGAACUUUGACAUAUGCAGCAAAUGGUUCUAUUUUGAUUUUGAGCACCUUGAACUGAUGAUAGUGUAUAUGAAGUGUGAAGCUGGUUCUGUGUCUUUUUACAUGAGAUGAGCUUGUUGCUUGUGUUGCA
This is an RNA transcript of Asparagus officinalis (garden asparagus), 764 nucleotides long. RefSeq lists it as uncharacterized. The record is from RefSeq and is a predicted model, not a curated record. Lineage: Eukaryota; Viridiplantae; Streptophyta; Magnoliopsida; Asparagales; Asparagaceae. The transcript has 4 exons.